This 8275-nucleotide unclassified non-coding RNA is filed under the name Pectinophora gossypiella (pink bollworm). Its description in RNAcentral is "calpain-D". The record is from RNAcentral. Lineage: Eukaryota; Metazoa; Arthropoda; Insecta; Lepidoptera; Gelechiidae.
CACAAACAACAUGGUGGAUCAGCUGUUUUCGUUUUUCUCGGACUUUAAUUUGUUUUCGUAAAAACGCCGAAUGUUAUGGUCCCCUAACCAUGUGUGAAUUAAAAUGGGCUCAAUCGCAUCGGUGCUGCAAUGGCAUUGUCAGACUUGCGGCCAGAUCAAUCCUACGGAAAGUGUUAAGUGCCUAAGAUGUGGUUUAAAGAGAGUAUCAAGUCAUGACAGUGGCCCUCCGAAGCAAUAUUUUGGAGAAGAUUCUUCGCCGGAAUACGGUUCUAGGACUGGAAAAAGCGAGGGAACUACUCCUGGCUCGGAACCGAUUGCGAUCCCGUCAACAAACAACCUUAAUCGCGGAUGGUCGUGCGUGGGGUCUGCGCCGGACGCGAGUCGUGCGUGGCGCUGCGCGUGCGGCCUGCGCAACGUGUCUGCGGCGUGGCGCUGCGCCGCCUGUGACGCGCUCGCUCCGCACGCGCCUGUCUAUAAAUUGUCGGAUGAUGAAGACCAAGCUACAGGAAUGACGGAGAAAGAUAAGUCUGCCAAAGAUAACACUAUGAUAAGAUCCAACACCUUGGCAGUCCCGUCGUAUAAGCCUUCAGCCAGUUAUUCUGGAGGUCGCCGUCUAAACCUGCAGCUUCAAUCAUUGCGCUUGUCUCCAACUCAGAUAACCGACCAGGCACAUGGAGUAACCAGGUCCCUUUCCCACGGCUCGGUCAUAAACUCCCAACAGCAGUGGUGGAAUGUUGAAGAGAACCGCGGAACCAUCAAUCGGCCGAACAGUCUCAUGGUCUCUGAGAGAUACGGGUAUUCAAACGCCUAUAAUCCAAGGGAGUCUUUCCUAAGAAGUUUGCAUACCGUGACGCGAAAACCCAAAAAGUGCAGUGAGAGUAAAUCUAAUUGGGAACUGAAUUACGUCAAGGAAUACCAAAAAGAACAAAGUAAAGCUCUGCAUUUGAAGAAGUGGGCUUGCAGUAAAUGUACUUUGGAGAAUUCAGGGAUCAGGACUCAUUGUGAAGCUUGUCUGUCGCCUAGAGUGUCGCAGUUGUCAAGGAUUCCUAAUACAAGAGGACUUAGCGUGACCACUUUGGGUAGACAUGACACUAUAAGUGGUCGUGAUGGCGCCACAUCUCUCCCAUCGUCUGGGGGUGUGAUGAUCACAGUUCCGGAUUGGCAAAGCGGGAGUAUAACCCUCGGGCCUUCAUUUCGUCGCUCCAUCAGCGCACAGAAUUCGCCAGAAAUCCGACCAACUUAUCGACGGUCGUUUUCUGAGCACACCAACGCUGAUAGCCGACCUGGUGGCAAGGUUGUCUCAAGUAGGAGAAGCUUGAUCGACUACCAGAAAACUUUGGGCAGCUACGUGAGUUUAAGACCUGAUGCUAAAGCGGAUUUGGAUAAGAAAAUAGACGAAUCAAGUGCGGAGUUGAUCGACAAAGAAUGCAGUUGGGACACCAACGCUGAAGGGGUGAUAUACGCUUUGCCAAACAAGGGGAAGUAUAAAGACUUGAACUUGCAAUUACAAGUGAACAAUAACGGGACGAGGUAUUCUUACGUUUCGGUUCAGGAUACAAAGAACGUCAUGAGUAACUCACAGAAUGAAGCUUUAUAUUCUAACGAUGGGGAGGACGAUUAUGCAAGGAUCGAUGAGUUAUUGGGUGCGGAGAACCUUCUGGCUCCCACAGUGAGUGAAGCUAGCAAUAUAAGGACUUCUCAUAUUGGUGCAGUGCCGAGGGACUCUAAAGUGUACAAUAUGUUGCCGUCUGUCGGGAAAGUGUCGCAGAGGGAGAAAAUGCCGCUGGUGCAGCAUGCGCCCACUCGCGACCACCGAAUGUGGCAGUGCACGGAGUGUUGGUACGCGUACAACCCGUGGUGGGGGCGCUCGUGCGACAUAUGUGGCCAGCCGCGGCCGCCGCACGCGUGUGUCACGCUCUCGCGCGAUGUGUGUGACGCGCCCACGUCCAGCGGCCACAGUUCUCGUCCGGGUCCGUCGUUACUAGAAGCGGGCAGCAGCAAAUCUGGCGACGUGGCUCGCGCUGAACACAAGAAACUGACAGUACCAAUCGCGUCGCUCGACCACGACUUGAAUAGCGAUGAACUGCUGUUUGCUGUUGACUCAACUCCAACGCCCGUUGCAUCAUCAGCCCCAACAUGGUCGUGUGGCCGCUGUACUCUAGUAAAUGAACCUACCGCGGCCGCGUGCGCCGCAUGCGCAGCGUCCCGGCCGUCGCCGCCGCACUUCUGGUCGUGCAGCUCGUGCACGCUAAGGAACCCAGUGUCGGCGAACCUCUGCCUCGCCUGCAAGACGCCCCCGGUACCCAAACACGGAGUGCCCAGCUCCUCUACAGAAGCUAAUCAUGGUGCCACCGGGCGAAGUCCAUCACCAAGAAGAAGUACGAAGCAUACUCCUGCUUUACCCCGACGCGCUGCCCGACUCAAGACCCCUCCGCCCGACCCUAAGCCGGAUACAUCGGAGUGGGCUUGUUCAGAGUGCACGUAUAUGAACGCAGCUGGCACGUUGGUUUGUGAGAUGUGUCAGUCGCCGCGUACAAGACUUCUGCCGGCCGCGCCGCACCAGCCCACUUUAGACGACGAUGAGUCACCGGAGGGGUCAGACGGGGAACGCCAGGAGAGUACGCCGAUGGAAAUACUGCGUUUGAGGGAGGAGAGCCAUGCGUGGACGCAGUGGCAGGAAGUGUUGGCCCAGUGCGCAGCUACCGGCGAGCCGUUCGUGGACGAGUCAUUCCCCGCGGCGCCGCGCUCGCUAUACUACGGGGGGUGCGCAGAGCUGGGCGCGGCGGCGCGCUGGCUGCGGCCGCACCAGAUCCACGUGGACGCUGACCACAGGCUGCCCUGGCUCGUGUUCCGGGAGCCGCGCCCCUCCGACAUAUCGCAAGGUGUUCUAGGCAACUGCUGGUUGCUAUCAGCGCUAGCAGUGUUAGCGGAGCGUUCAGCACUUGUCCGGGGGGUGAUAGUCCGAGGGGAGCCAAGUGUGGGCGCGUACCAGCUGCGGCUGUGUAAAGAUGGCCGCUGGUUGACGGUGACGGUCGAUGACCUCCUGCCUUGCAAUAAGAAGGGACAUCUUGUUUACUCACAGGCGAAAAGAAAACAAUUAUGGGUGCCUUUGAUCGAGAAAGCGGUCGCUAAACUACAUGGGUGCUAUGAAGCUUUAGUUUCUGGUAGAGCCAUUGAAGGUCUUUGCACAUUAACCGGCGCCCCGUGCGAGUCAGUGUCCCUGCAAGCGGGCACGCAAGGUGGGGGCUCCGGGGGCGGCACGGGAGCCCCGCUAGAGCAGCUGGAUCGCGACCUGGUGUGGGCGCAGCUGCUGUCCUCCCGGCAGGCCUGCUUCCUCAUGGGCGCCAGCUGCGGCGGUGGGAACAUGAAGGUGGACGAAGACGAAUACCAGCGUCUAGGGCUGCGUCCGCGGCACGCGUACUCCGUGCUGGACGUGGUGGAGAUCGCGGGCCCCACGCGCCUGCUGCGCCUGCGCAACCCGUGGGGGCACUACACGUGGCGCGGCGCCUGGGCGCACGCCUGCCAGCGGUGGACCGACGACGCCAAGCGGGCCGUGGCCGCCGUCGCCAUCAACGCCGACGCCGAUAGGGACCAGGGCGUGUUCUGGAUCAGCUUCGACGAUGUUCUCAAAUACUUCGACUGCAUAGACAUUUGCAAGGUGCGAGUGGGAUGGCACGAGGUUCGCCUGGCCGGUAUACUGCCGCCCAUGUCUUCAACAAGACAUUUGACUUGCCUCUUGCUGACUGCCACACAGCCUACCGAGGUGGACUUCACACUAUUUCAAGAAGGACAGAGGAAUUCGGCGAAGAGUCAGCGAUCCCAACUGGACCUGUGCGUUGUCGUGUUCAGGACCAAGUCGGGGCCGGGUGCGCAGAUCGGCAAACUUGUCGCGCAUAGUAAAAGACAAGUUCGCGGCUUCGUCGGUUGCCAUAAGAUGCUGGAAAAGGGCUUCUACCUCGUGGUAUGUCUGGCAUUCAAUCACUGGCAUACUGGCUUAGAGCUGGCCGAUAGUUCAGCUUGGCCGCGCCAUGUCCUGGCCGCCCAUUCGUCGAAGCCUCUGGCGGUGGAACGUCCGCCACUGCAUCCUCACAUACUGGCGGAUGCGAUUAUUGGCUUGACGCUGGCUAGAGGACAACGCCAUGAAGGCAGGCAAGGGAUGACUGCCUACUAUUUGACCAAGGGUUGGGCCGGCCUUGUGGUAAUGGUGGAGAAUCGCCACACGGACAAGUGGAUACACGUCAAAUGUGACUGCCAGGAGAGCUACAAUGUCGUCUCUACGAGGGGCGAGCUGAAAACCAUUGAUUCUGUUCCGCCGUUGCAUAGGCAAGUGAUAAUAGUGCUAACUCAACUCGAAGGCAGCGGUGGUUUCUCGAUAGCCCACCGGCUGACACACCGCCUGGCCGCCGGCGCCCGCCUGCAGGACUGGGCCCCCAACGCCGACGACGAGCCGCGGCACCGCCCGCCCCUCGCACGCAGGCUCUACGGCCUUCACGCGCCGCGACUGAUCACAUAGAACACAACUGCAGGCCUAAAGCGGUAAGGAAGGGACAGAGAAGUACAUCCAGCAAGAUGAACUGAGUACCCACACGCCUCACCGAGCUUUCUGUUAGAUCAACGUGAUAGUUGGCGAGCCGUAUCGCCGUCUAUAAUGGCUGAGGCAACUGUGUUAGUGAAAAUUGCACUUACAAUAAAUUGAUGACAUUGACAUUGGUGCAAGUCCGGUACUGGGUUUCGAACCGACGCUUUCUAAUUAAGAAACAAGUCAGUGUAUCACAGUGACUAAUAGUGACGGAACACUCGGACUUCCCUGCAUUGAGUUUACACUUAAUUUACACUAUUACACGUUUUAAGUUUUAUUUGAAAGACUUAGACCUACAUAAGUAAUAAAAAUAGAGAUAAAGAAGUUUGGGCAAGGAAUGAAACGACUUAAGAACGAUUAAAAGGAUUUUUUCAUAUGGAAUGUUAUAUUGAAGUGUGUAAAUAUGAGGCUUUUAGAGUAGGCACAAGUGUCAUAUUGUAGUAUAUUAAGCUUUUCGUUUUUAUGUUGAAAAGUGAAAAUAUAUUGUGGAAUGGAUUUUCAAGUUUUUGUUUUUGACUUUGUAUAGAACAUUGUAUGUUUUUAUACUUAGUUCAAUACUAAUUUCUGUAAAGUGUAAAAACUCGCGAAAGAUUUGAAUAUGCAUUCUACAUUUGUCACAUUAAAAUGUCAUCAUAUCGAUUUCUCUAUUAACUUUGAUUGGCCGACGAAAGUUCGUAUUUUAGCUAGAAUUAUAAGUUUUAUAACUAACGCGAAAUUUGUGCUAAAAUUAUAUAUUUUUAUUUGCAACUCCUAAAAGACAAAUUCGAAUUUAUGUUUAACGGAAUUUAUGUUCCAUUCCAAUAAUACUCAUUAUGUUAAGUUAUUUAAUGAAUUAAUUUUAUAUUUAUACUUAUAUUUUGAUUGUUUUAAGAGUGAUAUUAAAUCUUGCCAUUAAGUUUGCUUUACAACGAUAUACUUAUGUUCAAGCCUACGGAGUACGGUACUACUCGCGGAUCAGACCAACUUUUAGUGGUCAGUUCUACAAAUGUUCGGGUCAGUACCCACUUGUCCCCUAAAAUUUGUCCCCCUGGAAUAAAAGUUGUAGAUUCUGCCCCUAUUUAGGUAUCCAUUGGUCCCCUGGUAGGAGACCAAUCAAUAUUUAAAUAUUUCGCUGGAGUCGCGUCACAUUACAAACUUCAAUGCUUUCAUAUUUGUGGACACCUUUAUGCAGGAGGACUUCUGUCCGAAGGGAGUGGUGUAUCGCCGUUUCCGUGGUAGACUGCCACCAUUUCUUCCAGUGCAGUUCCAGUUUCUCUCUCUCCAGUGCUUAGGGGACAAAUAAAUAAUAUUAAUUUAUUUUUAAGGUACCCACUCGUACCCUGGUAUAUAAGUUACAGAUACGGCACCCGCUCAGGUGUCAUUUAGGGGACGAAUGGGAACCUUAAGUAUUUGAGGGACGAGUGGGCACAGGGGACGAAUUUCGGGGACCAAUGAGUAUUGACCCGUUCAUUGCCUAGUGUAUGUUGUACGCACUCGUCGAGCCGCAAGCGGUCUCGCGGAGCGGACCAUCUUACACUGGGCAACGAAGAAGUCUGUGCAAUUAUCCAGUAUAGAUUGGUCUUACCCGCGCGAGAUUCAGCGUACGCGCUUAGAUAUUGUUGUAAGUAUUCCAUUUUUACCUAAUUCUACAAGUGUACAAAUGUAAGCGACACCGUUUGAAUACGUUUCUUCGAACGUUGUUUUCUCGUGUAUUUUGUAUAUUUUUCGAGAUACCUUUUAAAAUAAUUUUGACAGUGACAGCUGUCAAGUUUGGUACGGGCUUUGAUUUAUUUUGCUAUGUCUUUUGCAAAUAGCAUGGUGCGUAGGAUCGCUGUCACACUCCGGACAAUGCAUACGAAAAUAUAACAUACGAAUAUAUUUUUUAUUAUUAUAGUUUCCUAGGUCAAAGAUAAAUUAUGAAAUUCUGAUUACUAAAUAAAGGCAGAUGGAAAGGUGACAAAAAACGUUUUCAUUUUCUAUUUAACUUAUUUAUCAUUUCUACGAAACAAAAAUGUAAUUUUAAGUGCGACAUUUUGUGACGUUUUUCUAUGACGUCACAGGGUGCUUUUUCAUACAAAUUCCAUAGUAAUUUCGUGUUAUGUCGUUUAGUAAAGUAACUGAUUUGACUAGUUGGAAACUAGCCUAUUCUUACCGUGUGCAACGUAACGAGAAACCGCUCCCCUUAUACACCUUAGCGGCUUAUGACCAUUUAAGACUAAAGUAAAAAUAAAAAACCCAAAGGGGGUGAGGUCGACGCCCGAUACGAAUUGGCGGGCCGGGGGGGAGUUACCGUUCUUUACGCCGCUGUCAGAAUAGCAUAUUUUCUUGUUUCUUUCGCACUAGGAUAUACCGUAUCUUUGUCCUUCCCUCGUACGCACCAUGCCAGAGCUUAUAUAGUGUAAUAGUUUAGAAAAUCCAGUAUUUUUGAGGCCUACAAGGUAAUAAUAAUAAAGUGAAAAAGCGUGCAAUAUGUUCGACGUGAAUUAUUUUUUAUUAUUAUAUUUUUUAAUAUGUAUUUUAUUAUUAAUAAUAGUGGAUGUCUGAGCGGUGGCACUAACUUAUGUUUACUCGAAAAUCCAUCCCAGCCAUUUGCAAAAAAAAAAAAUCAGACUACCCGCAAUUAAUUUUCAGGCACAAAGUAUGCACUGUGUUAAAAUAAUGUAGAUAUUAGUGGACAUAAUCAAUAGAAUAUUUUUAUGUGUGCAAUUGAGUAUACUUUUUACUUCACACGAGUCCGACUCACCCUUGACUGUUUGACCGUCAAAAUCUCAAUAUGUUUAAAAGAGUUCGUAAGGAGUCAAAUAUUUAGAUUUUACUCAAUCGACAGAAUUUUUAAUAGUUAUCAUUAAAACAGGAAAACGUUUCUACAACGAUUCGAUAGUUAAUUUUGUUAAAAUUUAGUUUAUUUAUUUCUUCGAAUACUAAAAACAUUGGCCCCGAUUCCAACUGACAGAAAUUUCUGCCUGAAAUUGAAGAGUGUUCCAUAAAUUUUAUGCCUUUCUUUUUCAGGGUAUAAGAAUUAAUGGAACACACGUCAAUUUUAGGUAGAAAUUUAAAAACCGUCCCAAGAUUUUAUAUUGGCCAAUAACCUGACAGAAUUAAAUUGACAGCCCAAGUCAAACGGGUUGCAUAUCAGCGAUUUUAAAAUUAACCAUUGUCAAUCAUCCGUCCCUUUCCUUUUCGGCGGAUAAGAAAAUUACGUGUAUAACUUGGAAUAAAAUUAGAAGGGGUCUGCAGGAAUCGAGGCCAUUAUUUUACUUAGUUACUAACAUAAAAAGCACUAGCUUCCGAAAUAAAAUAUUUGAAUUUGAAUUUAAUUUUUAUGUAACUUUUAAGAGUUUUUCUUAAAUAUUCGGUGUUUUGUGUCGCACAAAUAUAUGUUCACAUGUGACCCUGUAUGAAAGUUCACGGUAGCACUUAUCGAUGUAUCUCAAAGUUGUAUAAAAGUGUACACAAAUUCAAGCUUUUAUAAGAAACUGUCUGUCAAUAAUACUUUUGUGUAAUUUUCUUUCUAGGUUUGUAAGUAGUUCGCUAUUUUAGUGCCAUAAAUUAAUUAAUGAAAGAAGAUUUGACUGAAACUCUGUUCCUUAUUCAAAGAGAGACAUUUAAUAUGUUAGUAGUUAGUAAACUACAGUAUGUUUCGGAUUUGACUUAACCUGUAUUGGGAUGGAUGUCCCUUCGCGGGUUGGAAGGUCAGACAGUCGCUUCUGUAAAAAA